Long non-coding RNA from Sinocyclocheilus anshuiensis, 955 nucleotides. RefSeq lists it as uncharacterized. NCBI's taxonomy places the organism in Eukaryota, Metazoa, Chordata, Actinopteri, Cypriniformes, Cyprinidae. The record is from RefSeq and is a predicted model, not a curated record. The transcript has 3 exons.
UUUCACACGAGACAUUGCUUCGUCUGAAUGUUGUAGUCAUUAUGGCUUGAUUUGCAUAUUGAGCAUCACUAAUUUCCUCGGCGUGUCUAAAUGCGGCUGCACGUAAUAAACAAGACGACGUCAUUGAACGUGACCCCCUCAGUCCUGCAUCAAACGAGUCUCAAAACCAGAUCAAUUAAUAACGACAGAAAGACAACCAUAACGUAAUUCGAAGAAAAACGCUACUCUCCGUAAGUGGGAAAUUUAUAAUUGUUCCCAAAUGGUAGAAAAUGUCAGUAGAUAGGCUACGCUUGAAAGACAUGUUGGAAACACAGAUCAUAUUCAGGUAAGUCACACCUGGUCAUAUCAUUAAGACCUUCGCGCAACAAGAACUCAUUAAUUCCAUCGCACGUAUAAUGCAGAGGUAGAAGGGGUGGAUCAUAAAUCGCCCCCCACCCUCUCAAACCCCACCCAAACCCCCCCAAACUUGCAGGGUUCGCGCCGCACUUUCCAUUCGCUCGCGCUCAAGCAGUCACGUGAUGAAGUUCUGCUCUUCCCUCACACCUUCUCAUCCUGUGGAUGGAAUAAGAUGCUUUCAAACGACGAUGCCAAGUGCAUCUCCAGCAAACGAGUCGUGGAAGGAUUUCGUGGAUGUGAUUUCUAAUCGAGGGUGUUCGUUUAUCCGUUUCACAUCCAGAUGAUUGGGUUUUCGGUGCCAUGGGGAGUCCAAGGAGAAUAGGCAGCUGGAGCUCGGAGUCGCCCGCAGGAGGAAGUGGAGGCAGCGCUGCCUCAUGAGGCUGAUGCAACAUGAGGGAUGGAAGACAAAUGAAGGAUGCUAAAGGAAGCAUGGGAAAGAUGUGAUCUGGAUACUUUCAUAUCACUUCAGUGAAAAUAGCAUCAAUCAGAGCUCACAUAUCAUCAUACGAAGAUGCAGAAGAUGGUUCAAUCAAAUGGUAAAAAAUAUAAUAUAAACAAA